UCCCUAAUACACAGUCAGCGUUUUUCAAGUGCUCUGUAAAUAUUCCCUAAUACAUUUUGUGCUCGCAUUACGGUCCGUUCGUAAGAUUUCAUUAGCUCGGCUCUCGAGGGGAAGUUUGCGGAACGUAAUUAGAAAUGAAAUGCAGGCGUCUGCAGGAGGAGCCACGCAGCGAGUCGUGGGGCGGGGCUGGCUGAUUUCGUAGUGGCGAUGCGGCUUCAAGUAUUUGAGUGUGUUUUUGCCACGCAUCAACGGAAAGUGGCCAAGGCGUGGAUGGCAGAAGAGCUAAGUUCAUCCGCACUUGACACAUGCUAAUGCGUGCGGUAAAUGGCGGCCCUAACCUCACUUUCGGGUCUGCGCUUCGGGUCACCUUGAAGAAAUGCAAAAAUGGAAGCGAGGCUGCAUUAAGCGUACGGUAAAUUUAACUUUUGAAUGUUUUUUUAUGUGUGUGUAUGGCUUAGCAAGUACUAAGUGCCAUCAACACCAGGGCCGUAAUUAAACGCUCGCAGAGCAUUUUCUAGGAUAGAGUUGCAGCUCUCUCGUUCCCAGCAAUUAGGCCGGAGUUGUCGUCAGUGCAAGUAAUGAUUAUGGCCAGGAAAAAGCGGAAGAUCUUCGGGCAAGCACAAAGAGCCAGCGCCAAAGACAGAGUUGGAGCCAUGGCCCAGGAGCACAGGACAUGGCCAAGUGCCAAUUAGCAAGCAAAAUAGAUUGUAGUAAAUUUUAAUGACAUAUACGGCAGCCGCAUGGACAUGGACUUAGUUCCUGCCUCCUUUUCCUCAGUCUCGGCC
Molecule: long non-coding RNA, 785 nt
Filed under: Drosophila guanche
Lineage: Eukaryota; Metazoa; Arthropoda; Insecta; Diptera; Drosophilidae
Source: RNAcentral